This is a long non-coding RNA of Engraulis encrasicolus (European anchovy), 1063 nucleotides long. RefSeq lists it as uncharacterized. NCBI's taxonomy places the organism in Eukaryota, Metazoa, Chordata, Actinopteri, Clupeiformes, Engraulidae. The transcript has 3 exons. The record is from RefSeq and is a predicted model, not a curated record.
ACCACCGCACAUCAAUUUUAAUACGGCACACUCUCAAAACUUCCCCGGUGCACACACAAUGUAACAGCAGCCUGGGAUAUUGGAAUAACGUAGAAUGUCAGCGCUGAGAAAGGUGUUGCCGAGCAUACUGCAGAAGCAUUGCUGUAUCCUACCUGACAGAAACACAGUCUCCUGGACAUCUCGAUGCCCUACUCACCUCGUGUUUGGAACUUGGAGCCACAAAUGAAACAGUGAUGCCCCUUAAGGAAAGUUUUGCGAAGGAAGAAGUGUUUUAUUUUGCGAUUGGAAAUAUUGCCUGGCUGUACCCGUUUGAGUCCGGAGGGUAGAGGCAGGGAGUUGUACAAAGUAGUUUGAGGGUUGAGGGAUGAGGAAACAAACAUGGACAGGACAGUGCUGCAUCAGAUCAGCUCUUACAUCAAAACAACCUGCAAAGCAAGGUAGAGUGUGUAUUUUUUUUAGUAGUUUCUUUACAAUGUCAAUGAUGUCCAUUCACAAUUUUCCCAUUUCUCAUGAAUAUUUACUACCACCAUCAAUUUGCAAGUAGCCUAUUCAUUGUGAUUUGGAAAUGUACUCUUUUCAUGCAUUAACAGGUGGGUCAUCUCUAAGUAAAUCUGCCAUGUCAGACCAGUUAAUACCAUUUUACAUACCAUACUGAAGUAAAAUGUAUUACUGUAAUGUAAGAGGUCAAAUAAGUGAAUGGGGAGCAUACUUUGUAGCCGGGUUCCUACCAGACCUCUGUGUGCGUGUUGCUCUGGAGCCCCCUGGUGCCGCUCGAACACUAAUAGUGGAGCUCACAAAGCUGCCCGUAACUUCUAUACAGUGGUGCAUUUCUCACAAGAGAAGUUGUAGCCUGUUAGCAACUUUGGUAGUUGCCUAUGAGAAAAUGCAUUGAAAACAGCAAAGUAGCUAAUGUAGUAAGCAACUUUGGUUUUGAGAAAUGCACCCCUGGUCGGGUAGAGCCAGUCAAUACUUUCCGGACAUUAUCACUAAAAUUACACACUGAAGCUAUGAAAAAAAGUUUAUAAAUAAAGUUUCUAUAUUUUAUUUGGCGAUGUUGCCUAUA